Malurus melanocephalus (red-backed fairy wren) is the source of this 579-nucleotide long non-coding RNA. RefSeq lists it as uncharacterized. NCBI's taxonomy places the organism in Eukaryota, Metazoa, Chordata, Aves, Passeriformes, Maluridae. The transcript has 4 exons. The record is from RefSeq and is a predicted model, not a curated record.
AUUUGGCUCCAGGACCUUCAGGAUGAUUUCCUCAUUUCCUUAUAUUCCUGCCUGGCCUCCAAACCUGUCACGGCUGUGGAUCCAGAAUAUUCCAUUCUCUUCUUUUCCAAAUAUGACACCAAGAAGCUUUUGGCCUCCCUGGCUGCGUUCAGCCAGCGGUUUUCCCACGUGCCGCUUUCCCCGGAGUGGAGCCUGGUCCUGGUGAACGGGCUGUGGGAGAGGAUUCUGCGAGUGCCCGGCAUCGAGACCCCCCCAGUGCUGGCCCAGUGGGUCCACAGGGGGCUUCAGCCAUUCCUGGUGGAUCCCGAGGUCUUUGGUUGCCUCCGUGCCAAGGAUGUGUCCUGUGAGGAAUUCCGGCUGGUGGUCGCUGCCCUGGAUGGAAUCUAUUCCCAACUCCCUGUGGAAGAGCAGAGGAAUCUUUACACUGGGAUCAAACACUUCCUCAUCCAGGACGAAUCCAACCAGAAAUGCUUCAGCGAAGCCAUUCCAGCUCUGAAUUCCACGGCUUGGUUCCGGAAUUAUCUUGGGUCCUUCCUGGAGCAUGCCACUGUGGACGACCUGCAGCUUUUUGCGGAUGAG